GGUGGUAGUCAACUCUGGUACGGCUGGUAUUUUGUGACAACAAAUGAUACGCCAAUUGCUGAAUAUGGGACUUUUUAAGAAGGAAAGGUAGAAGAAAGAUGCGUUGCGGUGUCGCAUCGAAUGAAACCCAUUCACAGUGCAGCCUGAAGUUCCCUGCAUUUCGUUACCUCGGUGCCACGAUGACUUCAAACGUCUCCUUGGUUUUGUGAAUUGAAGACGUAAUCCAAUAAUGAAACCAUAGCCUGACUACGUGUCUUGGAGCUCCACACCUCGUGUUGAGGCUGAAGAGACACACUGAAUGCGACCAUAAAGGUUCGCGGGCGAGGAUUUGAUUGGCCGAUGUAAGUGACCUUCACAUUUCAUUGUGUGCAAGCUCUGAACAGCGCUGCAUCGGUUAUGUGCAGUCGAAAGACUUCGACUCUGAGUGUAUAGCUGGCUAUCACGGUAUUCAUGACAUAUGUUGUGAAACAGAGACAUGUUAAGGUGGGGUUGGCGUUAAUCAGUUCAGGUAGAUGAAUAUCGGAUGUCAGCUUCAUGGAUUCGCGUAUCCCUCUCCGAAUGUUUCCCCCUCGCAUCCCUGUGCGGAGAUAAGACAGAAUACGUACGCCGUGUCUUUACAAGAAUAUCUGUUAUGUUUCUAUAGAAACAGGAUUAAUACGCACAUUGAAGAGUGGUAUUUAAAACGUUAAAUACCACAAAAUUCACAGCUAUUUUAUAUAUUUAAUUACGUAAAUUAUGUUUUUCACUUCUCUCUAUGCUGUUUAUACAGGAUUCAAUAUAUUUGCCGUAACACCUCAAGUGAGUAUAAUCCAACCAAGUAUUAGUACUAAAUUGUGGCUUCGGUCAAGCAUACUUACCUGGUACGGGAGGUUACCGUGAUCCGCAAGGCGGUCCUCCCAGGGCGAGGCCUUUCCAUUGCACCUCGGUUUGGCUGACCCCUGCGAUCACCCCAAAUGCGGGUGACUCGAGUACGUAAUUUAUAUGUGUGGGGGUCUGCGUCCGCGCUAACCCCUGAAAAACUCAAUUCAAGAACAGAAAACCCAGCUAAACCUGGAUAAUAGGAAAGAAGUUAGCGGGGAGGGUAGAAAGUUAGUUCAUGUAGAAUUGUUUUAUUUCAGUAGGUUUUCACACACGUUUUCGUAUAUUUGGAUGACCUGUGUGUUAUGUAUAUUCGUGUUUAUGUAUGACUAAAAAAAACCAAUAUUGUUAUUUGUUUACAUACUCAUGUUAUUCUUCACAUGUAUGGUAAUUGUUACUUUUAAUGUUUCACCUUCAAUAUGUAAUUCUGUACCAUGUUUCAUGUUUAGUCUUGCGCGACAACGGUAUAACGAUCUGUAGCCGAAAUAAUGCUUUUACAGUAUAAUAAAGAAGUUGUUAUCUAUAAACCUGUGUCUUUGUCAUCAAUUUCAGGUUUUGAAAAUUAAAACGAUUUUGUCACAUA
Molecule: long non-coding RNA, 1441 nt
Organism: Haliotis rufescens (red abalone)
Lineage: Eukaryota; Metazoa; Mollusca; Gastropoda; Lepetellida; Haliotidae
Exons: 2
Source: RefSeq, a predicted model, not a curated record